GGUGAACGCUGGCGGCAUGCCUAACACAUGCAAGUCGAACGAAAAGACAGUAAGAUUUUGCCUCUAAGGGUGGCGGCGGGCGGGCGGGUAACACAUGGAUCACAUACCUCUAAGACGGGGAUAAUAACGGGAAACAAGAGAUACUAAUAGAGAAUAUGUUGAACCGCAGGAAUCAGUAGUGCAUGGGGGUUUUGGUGUCAGAUAGAGAUGAAGCCGCGCCGGAUUAGCUAGUUGGUAAGGUAACGGCUUACCAAGGCGACGAUGCGUAGCCGAGCUGAGAGGGUGAUCGGCCACACUGGAACUGAGACACGGUCCAGACUCCUACGGGAGGCAGCAGUAGGGAAUCUUCCGCAAUGGGCGAAAGCCUGACCGAGCAACGCCGCGUGAGUGAUGAAGGUCUUCGGAUCGUAAAACUCUGUUAUUAGGGAAGAACAAAUGUGUAAUUAACUAUGCACGUCUUGACGGUACCUAAUCAGAAAGCCCCGGCUAACUUCGUG
Molecule: ribosomal RNA, 497 nt
Filed under: uncultured bacterium
Lineage: Bacteria
Description: partial 16S ribosomal RNA
Rfam family: Bacterial small subunit ribosomal RNA
Source: RNAcentral